Molecule: ribosomal RNA, 1247 nt
Filed under: Candidatus Phytoplasma zeae
Lineage: Bacteria; Bacillati; Mycoplasmatota; Mollicutes; Acholeplasmatales; Acholeplasmataceae
Description: bacterial SSU rRNA
Rfam family: Bacterial small subunit ribosomal RNA
Source: RNAcentral
UGAAAACGACUGCUAAGACUGGAUAGGAGACAAGAAGGCAUCUUCUUGUUUUUAAAAGACCUAGCAAUAGGUAUGCUUAGGGAGGAGCUUGCGUCACAUUAGUUAGUUGGUGGGGUAAAGGCCUACCAAGACUAUGAUGUGUAGCCGGGCUGAGAGGUUGAACGGCCACAUUGGGACUGAGACACGGCCCAAACUCCUACGGGAGGCAGCAGUAGGGAAUUUUCGGCAAUGGAGGAAACUCUGACCGAGCAACGCCGCGUGAACGAUGAAGUAUUUCGGUACGUAAAGUUCUUUUAUUAGGGAAGAAUAAAUGAUGGAAAAAUCAUUCUGACGAUACCUAAUGAAUAAGCCCCGGCUAACUAUGUGCCAGCAGCCGCGGUAAUACAUAGGGGGCAAGCGUUAUCCGGAAUUAUUGGGCGUAAAGGGUGCGUAGGCGGUUAAAUAAGUUUAUGGUCUAAGUGCAAUGCUCAACAUUGUGAUGCUAUAAAAACUGUUUAGCUAGAGUAAGAUAGAGGCAAGUGGAAUUCCAUGUGUAGUGGUAAAAUGCGUAAAUAUAUGGAGGAACACCAGUAGCGAAGGCGGCUUGCUGGGUCUUUACUGACGCUGAGGCACGAAAGCGUGGGGAGCAAACAGGAUUAGAUACCCUGGUAGUCCACGCCGUAAACGAUGAGUACUAAACGUUGGGUAAAACCAGUGUUGAAGUUAACACAUUAAGUACUCCGCCUGAGUAGUACGUACGCAAGUAUGAAACUUAAAGGAAUUGACGGGACUCCGCACAAGCGGUGGAUCAUGUUGUUUAAUUCGAAGGUACCCGAAAAACCUCACCAGGUCUUGACAUGCUUCUGCAAAGCUGUAGAAACACAGUGGAGGUUAUCAGUUGCACAGGUGGUGCAUGGUUGUCGUCAGCUCGUGUCGUGAGAUGUUGGGUUAAGUCCCGCAACGAGCGCAACCCUUAUUGUUAGUUACCAGCACGUAAUGGUGGGGACUUUAGCAAGACUGCCAGUGAUAAAUUGGAGGAAGGUGGGGACGACGUCAAAUCAUCAUGCCCCUUAUGACCUGGGCUACAAACGUGAUACAAUGGCUGUUACAAAGGGUAGCUGAAGCGCAAGUUUUUGGCGAAUCUCAAAAAAACAGUCUCAGUUCGGAUUGAAGUCUGCAACUCGACUUCAUGAAGUUGGAAUCGCUAGUAAUCGCGAAUCAGCAUGUCGCGGUGAAUACGUUCUCGGGGUUUGUACACACCGCGCGUC